CCUACGGGAGGCAGCAGUAGGGAAUCUUCCACAAUGGGCGAAAGCCUGAUGGAGCAACGCCGCGUGGGUGAAGAAGGUCUUCGGAUCGUAAAACCCUGUUGUUAGAGAAGAAAGUGCGUGAGAGUAACUGUUCACGUUUCGACGAUAUCUAACCAGAAAGCCACGGCUAACUACGUGCCAGCCGCCGCGGUAAAACGUAGGUGGCAAGCGUUAUCCGGAUUUAUUGGGCGUAAAGGGAACGCAGGCGGUUUUUUAAGUCUGAUGUGAAAGCGUUCGGCUUAACCGGAGUAGUGCAUUGGAAACUGGCAGACUUGAGUGCAGAAGAGGAGAGUGGAACUCGAGGUGUAGCGGUGAAAUGCGUAGAUAUCUGGAAGAACACCAGUGGCGAAAGCGGCCCUCUGGUCUGCAACUGACGCUGAGGUUCGAAAGCGUGGGUAGCAAACAGGAUUAGAUACCCCUGUAGUC
This 465-nucleotide ribosomal RNA is filed under the name uncultured bacterium. RNAcentral describes it as "partial 16S ribosomal RNA". It matches the Rfam family "Bacterial small subunit ribosomal RNA", at positions 338 to 795 of the family's 1533-position model. The record is from RNAcentral.